RNAcentral lists this ribosomal RNA (254 nucleotides) under uncultured bacterium. Its description in RNAcentral is "partial 16S ribosomal RNA". It matches the Rfam family "Bacterial small subunit ribosomal RNA", at positions 524 to 776 of the family's 1533-position model. The record is from RNAcentral.
UACGUAGGGUGCGAGCGUUGUCCGGAAUUAUUGGGCGUAAAGAGCUCGUAGGCGGUGUGUCACGUCGUUCGUGAAAACCUGCAGCUUAACUGUGGGCGUGCGGUCGAUACGGGCAUCACUGGAGUUCGGCAGGGGAGACUGGAAUUCCUGGUGUAGCGGUGAAAUGCGCAGAUAUCAGGAGGAACACCGGUGGCGAAGGCGGGUCUCUGGACAGUUCCUGACACUGAGGCGCGAAGGCCAGGGGAGCAAACGGG